AGAUCUCCCCGCCCCGCAUCUCGCCCGCCUGCCACCGGCGAGGGGGCGCGCGCAGGCCGCCGCCGCGAUGUACCUGGCGUACGGGUGGCCGCAGUCGAUCCCGCUGGACCCGGACGACUCGGACCGCGUGGUCCUCCUCCGCGUCCUCGGCCGCCUCCUCCUCGCCGUCUGCCCCGCCUCGCUCCACCUCUGGUCCGCCGCCCAGCACCGGGUCCGCCUCGCCCGCUUCGACCGCUUCCCGGACUCCCUCGCCGCUCACGGCCAGAACGCGCACGCCGUGUGGAGCCCCGACGCCAAGACCGUCGCCGUCCUGACCUCCUCCUUCUACCUCCACAUAUAUAGGGUUCAUCUCUCCGGGAAGCCACUGAUCGUCGGUGGCAAGCAGCUCCCGGGGCUUUGCCUGGCUAGUAUAUCCCUAAUCAUCACCGAGAAGGUUCCUCUCGCCAAUGGUGUUGCUAUAACGAGCAAUUUCGUAUGUGACAGCAAGAGCAUGCUCCUCGGACUAUCUAAUGGGCAUGUGCAGGUCGUGUCCUGGAAUGCUGAGUUCUCAGACAGCUUCAAGCUUGGUUGCUCUGUGUGUUCGUCUGAGAAACCUACUGCUGUCAUAGAUGCGUUGGUGUUUGAUCCACCCAGUUUCCGAGAAAACUCUAAUGCAAGGCCUGCUCCUUGCUGCACAGGCAAUUCUUCUAUCGUCCAUGUUGAGUUGUCAGUGAAGCUAAGGUUGCUGGUUGCUUUGUACUCAGGCUGUCACAUUGCCCUCUUUACUGUUGGUAAGAAGGGAUUGAAGCAGCCUGGGAGCAUUAGAGUGGAGAGAUGGUUGAACACUGAUGAUGCGAUGUGUACUUCUGUGGCUUCUGAGCAACAGAUUCUUGCUGUCGGGUGCAGUAGAGGUGUUGUUGAAUUGUAUGAUCUAGCUGAGAACAUGCGUCAUAUACGAACGAUUUCGUUGUAUGAUUGGGGGUAUUCAGUGGAAGAUACUGGUCCUGUUGCCUGUAUAUCUUGGACGCCUGACAAUUGUGCUUUUGCAGUUGGGUGGAAAUUUAGGGGACUUACUGUAUGGUCUGUGUCUGGAUGUCGAUUGAUGUGUACUAUCCGUCAAACUGGAUCAAAUUCCGCCUCUUCUCCAAUGGUGAAACCUAACGCUCUAAAAUUUGAGCCUCUAAUGGGAGGGACAUCACACAUUCAAUGGGAUGAUAAUGGAUAUAAGUUAUUUGCUGUUGAAGAAAGCUUGUCAGAAAGGGUUCUUGCUUUCUCAUUUGCCAAAUGUUGCCUAAACAGAGGACUUUCAGGUACAACGUAUUCCCACCAGGUUCUUUAUGGAGAUGAUCGAAUCCUUUUAGUGCAACCGGAUGAUGCUGAUGAACUGAAGCUAUUGCAUCUUAAUGUUCCGGUUUCCUACAUUUCCCAGAACUGGCCAGUUCUACAUGUAGUAGCAAGCAAUGAUGGUAUGUACUUGGCAGUUGCUGGUUCUCAUGGGCUAGUGCUGUAUGAUCUGCGAAAUAAAAGGUGGCGUUUUUUUGGUGAUGUUACACAAGAGCAAAAGAUCCAAUGCAAAGGCCUGUUGUGGCUUGGAAAAAUUGUUAUUGUAUGCAACUAUGUUGAAUCAUCAAACACGUACGAGCUUCUCUUUUUUCCAAAAUAUCAUCUUGAUUAUAGCUCCUUACUCUACCGGAAACCACUGCUUGGAAGGCCAAUUGUCAUGGAUGUUUUCCAGGAUUACGUAUUAGUUACCUACAGUCCAUUUGAUGUGCAUAUAUUCCAUGUGGUGAUAUUGGGAGAAUUGUCACCUGCUAGCAAUCCGGUUUUACAGCUUUCAACAGUGCGAGAACUUUCAAUCAUGAGUCCAAAGAGCCCACCUGUUUCAAUGCGCUUCAUUCCCGAACAACCUGACAAAGGAGUGCUGAAACAGGAAACUAAUGGAUCUUCUGGUCUUUCAUCCGAGCAACCAUCAAGAUGUUUGAUCUUGCGGACCAAUGGUGAACUUUCUGUGCUGGACAUGGAUGAUGGACACGAACACGCACUCACAAAUUCAGUUGAACUCUUCUGGGUCACUUGUUCGCAAUUUGAAGAGAAGGGUAGUCUUAUUAAAGAGGUUUCAUGGCUUGACUAUGGUCAUCGGGGCAUGCAGGUAUGGUACCCAUCGCAUGGAGCGGAUCCUUUUAAGCAAGAAGAUUUCUUGCAGUUGGAUCCUGAGCUUGAGUUUGAUCGUGAGGUGUAUCCUCUUGGUCUUCUUCCAAAUGUUGGUGUGGUCGUUGGUGUUUCUCAGAGAAUGUCCUUCUCAACUGCUGAGUUUCCAUGCUUUGAGCCUUCACCUCAAGCCCAAACAAUAUUGCAUUGCUUAUUACGACAUCUACUUCAGAGGGACAAGAUUGAAGAAGCUUUGCGCUUGGCGAAUUUGUCAGUAGAAAAACCUCACUUUUCACACUGUUUAGAGUGGCUUCUGUUUACGGUAUUUGAUGCAGAUAUAUCAAGGCCAAGUGCUUCAAAAAACCAGGUUCCUCAAAAAGUUGAUUACCCGAAGAAGUCUCUUCUCGAGAAGACAUGUGACCUACUGCGGAAUUUUCCUGAAUAUAUGGAUGUCGUAGUCAGUGUGGCUAGGAAAACAGAUGGUCGACACUGGGCUGAUCUUUUCUCUGCAGCUGGACGAUCCACAGAUGUUUGUUUGCAAAGAUUUCAAAUCAAAUACUUAUGCUCUUGGUACAACCAAUCUUUUGUGAUAGGAUGUUUGAGGAAUGCUUCCAACGGAGAUGGUACAGGACUGCUGCUUGCUACAUACUGGUCAUUGCUAAGUUUGAGGGCCCUGCAGUCAGUCAGUACUGUGCACUUCGUUUGCUUCAAGCUACACUUGAUGAAUCUUUGUAUGAGCUUGCUGGGGAGUUGGUUCGCUUCCUUCUAAGAUCUGGAAGAGAUUUUGAGAAUGCCACCUCAGACUCCGAGAAGCUCUCUCCAAGAUUUCUUGGCUAUUUUCUAUUCCGUUCACCAUAUAAGCGGCAAUCUUCUGAUUUGAAAAGCAACUCAAUGAAAGAACUUAGUCCACAUAUUGCCUCUGUUAUGAACAUUCUAGAGAGCCAUGCUAGCUAUUUGAUGUCUGGCAAGGAGCUUUCUAAACUUGUUGCUUUUGUCAAAGGGACACAAUUUGAUCUUGUGGAGUAUCUUCAACGAGAAAGACUAGGGUCUGCUCGGCUGGAGAAUUUUGCAUCUGCACUUGAACUGAUUGGGCAAAAGCUCCAAAUGAACACACUCCAAAGCCGGCUUGAUGCUGAGUUCCUUCUAGCUCAUAUGUGUUCAGUCAAAUUUAAGGAAUGGAUCGUGGUGCUAGCUACUUUAUUGCGACGUGCGGAGGUUUUGGUGGAUCUCUUUCGGCACGAUUUGCGAUUGUGGAAAGCAUAUAGCAUUACUCUACAGUCACAUGAUGUAUUCAGAGAAUAUCUCGAUCUUCUUAAUAUGUUGGAGGAGCAGCUUUGUUCUGUUUCUGAUCUUACAUUGCAAAAUGGACCAUUGUCUUGAAUGCUGAACGAGACUGGUUGAAAAAUCCAUCGAAUGUGACAUUUAGCCUUGUGCUAAUUUAACACAUACAGUUAGAUGAGAACAGCGCGGGAAAUCUGUUGUAAAUAGAAAUUAUUGAGGGAUUUUCCCUUUGAACAACACCCUAGAGGCUAUCGCAGUUUUUUGUGCAGUGAUCUGCUGAGCACCAUAUUGUUGUAUCAUUAGUUUGUUGAAGCGGAGUUGAGUGUGCAUUCUUCGCCUUUCUGUAAGUACGAGCUGCGCUCCUAACACUGUAAAGCAUAUACCAAUUAUGAGGGAUGAGUUGUUCUUUCUGUAACGUAGAAUCUUGUUUAAAGCUUAUUACAUGUAGAUAGCCCUUGCUUGAUGUCUGUAAACUUGAGAUAUUAUUAAAACAGGCAAUACCAGGAUCAUUUAGUUCCAUUUUGACA
Molecule: RNA transcript, 3935 nt
Organism: Panicum virgatum (switchgrass)
Lineage: Eukaryota; Viridiplantae; Streptophyta; Magnoliopsida; Poales; Poaceae
Gene name: guanine nucleotide exchange factor subunit RIC1-like
Exons: 22
Source: RefSeq, a predicted model, not a curated record